UUACGGCCAUAUCAUGUUGAAACAUCGGUUCCCGUACAAUCACCGAAGUUAAGCAACGUUGAGCUUGGUCAGUACCUAGAUGGUUGACCGUUUGGGAAUACCAGGUGCUGUAAG
Acanthosepion pharaonis is the source of this 114-nucleotide non-coding RNA. The record is from the annotation of a GenBank genome assembly. Lineage: Eukaryota; Metazoa; Mollusca; Cephalopoda; Sepiida; Sepiidae.